Molecule: ribosomal RNA, 756 nt
Filed under: Bacillus sp. (in: firmicutes)
Lineage: Bacteria; Bacillati; Bacillota; Bacilli; Caryophanales; Bacillaceae
Description: bacterial SSU rRNA
Rfam family: Bacterial small subunit ribosomal RNA
Source: RNAcentral
UGCAGUCAGAGCGGACAGAAGAGGAGCUUGCUCCCGGAUGUUAGCGGCGGACGGGUGAGUAACACGUGGGUAACCUGCCUGUAAGACUGGGAUAACUCCGGGAAACCGGAGCUAAUACCGGAUAGUUCCUUGAACCGCAUGGUUCAAGGAUGAAAGACGGUUUCGGCUGUCACUUACAGAUGGACCCGCGGCGCAUUAGCUAGUUGGUGAGGUAACGGCUCACCAAGGCGACGAUGCGUAGCCGACCUGAGAGGGUGAUCGGCCACACUGGGACUGAGACACGGCCCAGACUCCUACGGGAGGCAGCAGUAGGGAAUCUUCCGCAAUGGACGAAAGUCUGACGGAGCAACGCCGCGUGAGUGAUGAAGGUUUUCGGAUCGUAAAGCUCUGUUGUUAGGGAAGAACAAGUGCAAGAGUAACUGCUUGCACCUUGACGGUACCUAACCAGAAAGCCACGGCUAACUACGUGCCAGCAGCCGCGGUAAUACGUAGGUGGCAAGCGUUGUCCGGAAUUAUUGGGCGUAAAGGGCUCGCAGGCGGUUUCUUAAGUCUGAUGUGAAAGCCCCCGGCUCAACCGGGGAGGGUCAUUGGAAACUGGGAAACUUGAGUGCAGAAGAGGAGAGUGGAAUUCCACGUGUAGCGGUGAAAUGCGUAGAGAUGUGGAGGAACACCAGUGGCGAAGGCGACUCUCUGGUCUGUAACUGACGCUGAGGAGCGAAAGCGUGGGGAGCGAACAGGAUUAGAUACCCUGGUAGU